AUAGAAAUAUAUCGGUAGGGGAGCGUUCUGUUGUAGGUCGAAGUAUUAGCGUAAGCGGAUAUGGACGAAGCAGAAGUGAGAAUGUCGGCUUGAGUAACGAAAAUAUAGGUGAGAAUCCUAUACCCCGAAAACCCAAGGUUUCCUCCGGAAGGCUCGUCCGCGGAGGGUAAGUCAGGACCUAAGGCGAGGCUGAAAAGCGUAGUCGAUGGACAACUGGUUAAUAUUCCAGUACCAUUUUUUAUUGACAACGAGGGACGGAGAAGGUUAAGCCAGCCGGAUAUUGGUUACCGGUUUAAACGUUCGAGAUGUUGAGAAGCGGCGAAAACGCUUUGAGUUGAGACGUGAGUACGAGACGCUAAGGCGUUGAAGUGGUGUAUAUCAUACUUCCAAGAAAAGCUUGCACUGUCAUAAAUAAAGAAUGCCUGUACCAUAACCGACACAGGUGGGUAGGUAGAGUAUACUAAGGGGCGCGAGAUAACUCUCUCUAAGGAACUCGGCAAAAUAACUCCGUAACUUCGGGAGAAGGAGUGCCUUAUUCGUAAGGCUGCAAUAACAAGAUCCAAGCAACUGUUUACCAAAAACACAGGUCUCCGCUAAGUCGUAAGACGAUGUAUGGGGGCUGACGCCUGCCCAGUGCCAGAAGGUUAAAGAAGUUGGUUAGCAUUAGCGAAGCUGAUAACUGAAGCCCUGGUGAACGGCGGCCGUAACUAUAACGGUCCUAAGGUAGCGAAAUUCCUUGUCGGGUAAGUUCCGACCCGCACGAAAGGCGUAAUGAUUUGGAUACUGUCUCGGAGAGAGGCUCGGUGAAAUAGACUUGUCUGUGAAGAUGCGGACUACCUGCACCUGGACAGAAAGACCCUAUGAAGCUUUACUGUAACUUGAAAUUGAAAUUGGACUUUAGUCGCGCAGCAUAGGUGGGAGGCGUUGAGCAUGUUCUUGCGGGAACAUAGGAGCCAUCAGUGAGAUACCACUCUUCUAAUGUUAGAUUUCUAACCUUGUACCAUUAUCUGGUCAAGGAACAGUUUCAGGCGGGCAGUUUGACUGGGGCGGUCGCCUCCUAAAUGGUAACGGAGGCGUACAAAGGUUUCCUCUGAACGAAUAGAAAUCGUAUCUAGAGUAUAAAGGCAUAAGGAAGCUUGACUGUGAGACCUACAAGUCGAGCAGGGACGAAAGUCGGUCUUAGUGAUCUGACGGUACUGAGUGGAAAGGCCGUCACUCAACGGAUAAAAGUUACUCUAGGGAUAACAGGCUGAUCUCCCCCAAGAGUUCACAUCGACGGGGAGGUUUGGCACCUCGAUGUCGGCUCAUCGCAUCCUGGGGCGGUAGUACGUCCCAAGGGUUGGGCUGUUCGCCCAUGAAAGCGGUACGCGAGCUGGGUUCAGAACGUCGUGAGACAGUUCGGUCCAUAUCCGGUGUAGGCGUUAGAAUAUUGAGAGGAGCCUUCUUUAGUACGAGAGGACCGAGAAGGACAUACCUAUGGUGUACCAGUUAUCGUGCCAACGGUAAACGCUGGGUAGCCAAGUGCAGUUUGGAUAACUGCUGAAAGCAUCUAAGUAGGAAGCCAGCUUCAAGAUGAGUACUCUCACCGCUUUAAGCGGGUAAGAUCACGGCAAGAACAGCCGUUUGAUAGGCAUCAAGUGUAAGUGCAGCAAUGUAUUCAGCUGAGAUGUACUAAUAGAUCGAGGGCUUAUUUU
RNAcentral lists this ribosomal RNA (1694 nucleotides) under marine metagenome. Its description in RNAcentral is "bacterial LSU rRNA". It matches the Rfam family "Bacterial large subunit ribosomal RNA", at positions 1214 to 2925 of the family's 2925-position model. The record is from RNAcentral.